Phymastichus coffea is the source of this 376-nucleotide long non-coding RNA. RefSeq lists it as uncharacterized. The record is from RefSeq and is a predicted model, not a curated record. The transcript has 3 exons. Lineage: Eukaryota; Metazoa; Arthropoda; Insecta; Hymenoptera; Eulophidae.
GUCGCGUUCAGUAUAUUAAAUUCGUGAUGUGUACCGCUUUUGAAAUGCAUUAUUCACAGGCCAGCUUACUGUCAAAACUGCUAAGUGCUAUGGCAAACGCUUGGAGUGCACACAAGGGGAAUCGAUAAUCCAUUGAAGCCAUAAAAAAUCUUUACGUGAUCGAGUCAAACUUACCGUCUGUAUCGUGAACUACUUGAAAGUUUUUUACUGAGGCCUGUGUAACGCGACCAUGAAAAUUGAGGACGUACGAUUGCGUGUCGUCAUUCCAUACUGGCGUUUUAUUAUUUUCAGAUUCGUCCCGAGGACAAAUUUCAACUCUCCUUUGGUCGGGAGUCAUUCCAGGAAUGAUAACAGUCAUUUUUCGAGGUCCCUUGAA